UCUGACCUCAAAUCAGGUGGAAUACCC
Molecule: ribosomal RNA, 27 nt
Filed under: Pyrofomes demidoffii
Lineage: Eukaryota; Fungi; Basidiomycota; Agaricomycetes; Polyporales; Polyporaceae
Description: partial 28S ribosomal RNA
Source: RNAcentral